Non-coding RNA from Sclerotinia nivalis, 101 nucleotides. The record is from the annotation of a GenBank genome assembly. NCBI's taxonomy places the organism in Eukaryota, Fungi, Ascomycota, Leotiomycetes, Helotiales, Sclerotiniaceae.
GGCCUGCUGGCCCAAUGGCAAGGCGCUUGACUACGACUUUCAGAUUCAGAAUUUCUGAAGCCAGCAUCAAGAGAUUGCAGGUUCGAUCCCUGCGUAGGUCA